AUUGUACGCUGGCGGCAGGCCUAACACAUGCAAGUCGAACGGUAACAGGAAACAGCUUGCUGUUUCGCUGACGAGUGGCGGACGGGUGAGUAAUGUCUGGGAAACUGCCUGAUGGAGGGGGAUAACUACUGGAAACGGUAGCUAAUACCGCAUAACGUCGCAAGACCAAAGAGGGGGACCCUCGGGCCUCUUGCCAUCGGAUGUGCCCAGAUGGGAUUAGCUUGUUGGUGGGGUAACGGCUCACCAAGGCGACGAUCCCUAGCUGGUCUGAGAGGAUGACCAGCCACACUGGAACUGAGACACGGUCCAGACUCCUACGGGAGGCAGCAGUGGGGAAUAUUGCACAAUGGGCGCAAGCCUGAUGCAGCCAUGCCGCGUGUAUGAAGAAGGCCUUCGGGUUGUAAAGUACUUUCAGCGGGGAGGAAGGGAGUAAAGUUAAUACCUUUGCUCAUUGACGUUACCCGCAGAAGAAGCACCGGCUAACUCCGUG
This 490-nucleotide ribosomal RNA is filed under the name uncultured bacterium. Its description in RNAcentral is "partial 16S ribosomal RNA". It matches the Rfam family "Bacterial small subunit ribosomal RNA", at positions 30 to 507 of the family's 1533-position model. The record is from RNAcentral.